Long non-coding RNA from Sarcophilus harrisii (Tasmanian devil), 380 nucleotides. RefSeq lists it as uncharacterized. The record is from RefSeq and is a predicted model, not a curated record. Lineage: Eukaryota; Metazoa; Chordata; Mammalia; Dasyuromorphia; Dasyuridae. The transcript is spliced from 3 exons.
GCAUUUGUUAACCCACUAGAUCCUCAUAAGAAUCUUAUGAAAUGUGAGUUAAUGGUAUUGAUCUCCAUUUUACAGAUGAGGAAAAUGAGGCUCUUGGCAGAGUAGGUAAGGAUUUUCAAGUGGACAAUCAAUUCUCAUCCUCAAAUAAAUGGAUUCUAGGAAAGAUGAGAAGUCUGAAGCUUAGAGAUGAAAUGAACCUGUCCAAAAUUAAAAGGCAUAAUAGCAGUUCAUCAAUAUUAGUUGAACCCAUCAUCAACUUGAAGACUGCAAAUUAGAAUUUCAUUAAAAAAGGGAAGAAGUAGCAAUUUAUCUGGCAAGUCCAAAUCAAAGGAAUUAAAACCCCCUUGUCUAAUGUGUCAUAAAAUAUUAUUAUGUAUUAU